AGCAGCAGCCACGGUAAUACGUAGGGUGCGAGCGUUAAUCGGAAUUACUGGGCGUAAAGCGUGCGCAGGCGGUUUGUUAAGACAGAUGUGAAAUCCCCGGGCUUAACCUGGGAACUGCAUUUGUGACUGGCCGGCUAGAGUAUGGCAGAGGGAGGUGGAAUUCCACGUGUAGCAGUGAAAUGCGUAGAUAUGUGGAGGAACACCGAUGGCGAAGGCAGCCUCCUGGGCCAAUACUGACGCUCAUGCACGAAAGCGUGGGGAGCAAACAGGAUUAGAUACCCCGGUAGUCCCUGUCUCUUAUAA
Molecule: ribosomal RNA, 303 nt
Filed under: uncultured bacterium
Lineage: Bacteria
Description: partial 16S ribosomal RNA
Rfam family: Bacterial small subunit ribosomal RNA
Source: RNAcentral